GAGGUUGUAGCUCAGUGGUAAAGCAUGUGUCUGACAUGCACAAGGCCUUGAGUUAAUCCCCAAUAACCCCC
RNAcentral lists this transfer RNA (71 nucleotides) under Rattus norvegicus (Norway rat). It matches the Rfam family "tRNA". From Rfam's summary of the family: Transfer RNA (tRNA) molecules are approximately 80 nucleotides in length. Their secondary structure includes four short double-helical elements and three loops (D, anti-codon, and T loops). The record is from Rfam by way of RNAcentral. Lineage: Eukaryota; Metazoa; Chordata; Mammalia; Rodentia; Muridae.